This is a long non-coding RNA of Mauremys reevesii (Reeves's turtle), 1388 nucleotides long. RefSeq lists it as uncharacterized. The transcript is spliced from 2 exons. The record is from RefSeq and is a predicted model, not a curated record. Lineage: Eukaryota; Metazoa; Chordata; Testudines; Geoemydidae.
UAUAAUGGGCAGAGGAAGCCAGGGCCCUCUCACCACUACUGGAUAUGCUCCAACUGGGGCCUCAGUAUAAAAGGGACUCAGCUGGGCCUGACUGCUGAGGAGAGAGGAUGCACGCUGCAGGCUUCCUUCUGGGAGCUGCUGGAGCGCCUGAGCACGGAGGCCAAGCAUGCUCAGAUCCAGGCAGAUAUCUGGCUGCCCACAGAAGCCCAAGAGGAGAUGGAGUUGUUGGGAGAUUCACAAGCCAAUGAGCCCAGAGGCCCAGGAGACCAGUGGACAGCAUUGCUGGGAAACGGUAUAAAGUAACCACAGGUUCAUAGGUUUCAAGGGCGAAGGGACUAUUAGAUCAUCAACUUUCAUCCUAUUAUACCUGUAUUGGGCUCAGCAACUUAUUUGAUGAAAGCAUAUCUUCCAGAGUGACAUCCGGUCUUGAUAUGAGGACAUCAGGAGAUGCAGAAUUCACAAUUUUCCUUGAUAGCUUGUUCCAAUGGUUAAUAACCCUCACUAUUAGAAUUUUGAGCCUUAUUUCUAAUUUGAAUUUGUCUGGCUUUAGCUUCCAGUCAUUGGUUCUUAUGCCUGCUAGAGUAAAGUGUCUCCCCUUGAAUGUACUUGUACACACCAUUAUCAAGUUACCUCAUGAUCUUUUAGAUGCCUAAAGACUGAGGAAUGUCAGCUGAGUUGGUUUAGAGUUAUGCAUAUUUGGAGUUGGUACAAUACCCUGGAUUAAUACUAUGUUGACAAUUGUACUGAACAUUUCAGGACAGCUUUUCAGAGUAAGACAGCCCCGAGUUAAUGAACAACAUCUUUGGAGGCCAAAGGAUAGCUGGGUUCAAGAUUGCUUAAUUUUUUUACAAACAAAGACUUAAUCAAGGCAAGUCUUAAGACUGCAUGUGUUGUAAUUUCAAAUAUAUGGUUAUAUAAGAAAUUCUACUUUAUUACAGCAUAUCAUAUGUGUUUAACAAAUAUAUUCCAGUUGAAAAUGACAUUAGAACAGCCAUAAUAAGGCUGCAACGUGAAGUGCUCAGAAGUUCACAGAUACCAGAAUUAAGAAUCCAUGCAGCCUUAAUCCUGUCCUCCUUUGCAUAUUUAUUUAAUUACAUCAACUUCUUUCCCACAGGACCCUUACCUCAAUCAGGACAGAAGAUGCUAUUGUUAUGGUUUUGUAAUUUUCACAGUUUGUAGUACACAUACUCCUAAUGCAAGGCAUGUUGUAUGUGAUGUAGGAUUUUUUUUAAAUGUACUGCACAAUUAAAGCCUUAACAUAUCAUUAAGAAAUACACUGUGCCCAAACAAGAAAAAAAAAACUGUAUUCAUUUGUUCACCUUUUAAUCAUUAGCUGUACACUGCACUGCAGAAGUUUCUCUAAAUAAAAACAAAAGAUGGUAACAUAA